AUUGAACGCUGGCGGCAGGCCUAACACAUGCAAGUCGAACGAGCGUAGGAGGGGUGAGUAAUGUAUGGGGUCUUCCCGUUACAGGGGGAUAACUAUUGGCCACGGUGGCGAAUACUGCUAACUUUCGUGUAACCCAUAUGGGAGUGGCUAGUAGGUAAGGUAAUGGCUUACCUAGGCGACGAUCCCGAGCUGGUCUGAGAGGCUGAGCAGCCAAACUGGGACGUAGAGACGGCCCAGCGUCCUACGGAGGAAGCAGUGGGGAAUAUUGCACAAUGGGCGCAAGCCUGAUGGAGCCAUGCCGCGUGGAUGAAGAAGGCCUUAGGGUUGUAAAGUACUUUAAGUCGGGAGGCGUUACCGACAGAAGAAGCACCGGCUAACUCCGUGCCAGCAGCCGCGGUAAUAC
This 403-nucleotide ribosomal RNA is filed under the name uncultured bacterium. RNAcentral describes it as "partial 16S ribosomal RNA". It matches the Rfam family "Bacterial small subunit ribosomal RNA", at positions 30 to 526 of the family's 1533-position model. The record is from RNAcentral.